This 471-nucleotide ribosomal RNA is filed under the name Escherichia coli. RNAcentral describes it as "partial 23S ribosomal RNA". It matches the Rfam family "Bacterial large subunit ribosomal RNA", at positions 47 to 511 of the family's 2925-position model. Lineage: Bacteria; Pseudomonadati; Pseudomonadota; Gammaproteobacteria; Enterobacterales; Enterobacteriaceae. The record is from RNAcentral.
CGAAGAAGGACGUUACUAACGACGAUAUGCUUUGGGGAGCUGUAAGUAAGCGUUGAUCCAGAGAUUUCCGAAUGGGGAAACCCAACAUGAGUUAUGUCAUGUUAUCGAUAUGUGAAUACAUAGCAUAUCAGAAGGCAGACCCGGAGAACUGAAACAUCUUAGUACCCGGAGGAAGAGAAAGAAAAAUCGAUUCCCUGAGUAGCGGCGAGCGAAACGGGAAGAGCCCAAACCAACAAGCUUGCUUGUUGGGGUUGUAGGACACUCUAUACGGAGUUACAAAAGUAUAUAUUAGACGAAUCAUCUGGAAAGUUGAAUCAAAGAAGGUAAUAAUCCUGUAGUCGAAAAUAUAUACUCUCUUGAGUGGAUCCUGAGUACGACGGAGCACGUGAAAUUCCGUCGGAAUCUGGGAGGACCAUCUCCUAAGGCUAAAUACUCUCUAGUGACCGAUAGUGAACCAGUACCGUGAGGGAA